CAAAGAAGAACUGCCAUCGUUUCAGAAUUUUUUUCACCAUCUAAAAAGUGCUUUUUGGCUGAUGGAGAAGUUAAAAAUUUCAACUUUUCUUCAGCCAAAAGUCCGUUUGGCUGAUUAUUUCCCAUUCUAACCUGUCUUCUCCCCCAAAAAAGUUUCUUUUCUCUGAUUCUUUGGAGCUCUAUACCCAUUUUUUUCACAUUUUCACUUUCAAAGUUCUUUCGUCAGGUUCUUUGUUCUUCUUCCGCCGUUGAUGAAAACAGAUGAAAACAGAAGAAUUUAUCUGAAAAUCUGGAAUUCAAGAGAAGUUGAUAAGAGGCGAAGCAUUCGUGCACGAAACCUAUGGUGCAUACAAGACCCUUGAAGAACUUUGGGAUGGUGAAAUCUGAGUAGGUUAGAGUGAUGCAUUUGCUCGGCCAUAUUAUAGAAUGAUGCUGCCACCACUGACCUCCUGCCAUCAAUGAG
This is a long non-coding RNA of Gossypium raimondii (Peruvian cotton), 462 nucleotides long. RefSeq lists it as uncharacterized. Lineage: Eukaryota; Viridiplantae; Streptophyta; Magnoliopsida; Malvales; Malvaceae. The record is from RefSeq and is a predicted model, not a curated record. The transcript is spliced from 3 exons.